GCUUAACGCGAAGAACCUUACCAGGCCUUGACAUGCAGAGAACUUUCCAGAGAUGGAUUGGUGCCUUCGGGGAACUCUGACACAGGUGCUGCAUGGCUGUCGUCAGCUCGUGUCGUGAGAUGUUGGGUUAAGUCCCGUAACGAGCGCAACCCUUGUCCUUAGUUACCAUCAUUAAGUUGGGAACUCUAAGGAGACCGCCGGUGACAAACCGGAGGAAGGUGGGGAUGACGUCAAGUCAUCAUGGCCUUUAUGGCCAGGGCUACACACGUGCUACAAUGGCAGGUACAGAGGGAAGCCAACCGGCGACGGGGAGCUAAUCCCAGAAAGCCUGUCUUAGUCCGGAUUGCAGUCUGCAACUCGACUGCAUGAAGUUGGAAUCGCUAGUAAUCGCAGAUCAGCAUUGCUGCGGUGAAUACGUUCCCGGGUCUUGUACACACCGAACGCGAAGAACCUUACCGGGGUCUUGGUACACACCGGGGGGUCUUGGUACAC
RNAcentral lists this ribosomal RNA (492 nucleotides) under uncultured bacterium. Its description in RNAcentral is "bacterial SSU rRNA". It matches the Rfam family "Bacterial small subunit ribosomal RNA", at positions 954 to 1445 of the family's 1533-position model. The record is from RNAcentral.